Trichechus manatus latirostris (Florida manatee) is the source of this 5539-nucleotide long non-coding RNA. RefSeq lists it as uncharacterized. The record is from RefSeq and is a predicted model, not a curated record. Lineage: Eukaryota; Metazoa; Chordata; Mammalia; Sirenia; Trichechidae. The transcript is spliced from 3 exons.
UUGAAGGAUAGCUGGGUUGUUUCCAGUUUUUGGCUAUUAUGAAUAAAGCUGCUGUGAACAUUUGUGUGUUGGUUCUUAUGUGAACAUAAGUUUUCCUUUCUUAGGGAUAAAUGCCCAGGAGUACAAAUGCUGGGUCAUAAAGUAGUUGAAUUUUAUUUUUUUAAGAAACUACCAAACUGUUUUCCAGAGUAGCUGUACCGUUUUAUAUCCCCAUCAGCGAUGUGUAAGUGCAAAGAAUGUAUUAUUAUUUUUAGAAAAUAAAAUUACAUAAAUGCACAGCAGAAAUGGAAUAAUUAAGUGUUGAUUAUAUAUCUAUAUCAUGGAACACUGUGUGGGUCCUCAGAAAUGUUUAUACAGUGUUUUUGUUACUACUAAAAAAUGGUUAUGUAAAGUAAAAAAACAGAAUCUGAAAUACAAUUUUAAAGUCAUGAACGCACAGAAGAUUGAGAAGUGGUUCAUAAUUGUUAAUUUGAAUAAAAAUGUUUAUGACAAGUAUAUGUUGAAGAUACUUAUAUUUAGCUUGGUUCUUAUUCAUUCCUAGCAGCUGGUACUAACUCAGAAAAAAAGGAAGGAGAGUCUAUUUUUCCCAUACUCAUCCUUGAUUAUAGUACUAUUGAAGGGCUCUGGGUGUUUACUAUCUAGGAAAAUAAAAUACUUUUACUAAGUGUCUUACUAUAUGCCAGGUCCUUUAUGAAAGUUAAUAUAAUAAACUUAAGAAUACCUUAUUCAUCCUGUUUUUAUCAUCAUCCCACUAUGAGAAUAUAUAAAUGCCCUCAUUUUUUGAAGUUCUUACCUUCUCUCUUUAAGCAUGUAACAAUUUUAUAUAAUAUAAGCCCUAUAUCACUUGGAACCAUAUCUCUAAAUUAAUGACAGUGUUCAUUUUUCUGUUUUUGUAGCUCUAGCUUUCAUUUUCUGUGAUUCCCAACACCUCUUCUGCCUCUGCUAGUUCAAGUCCUCUCCUGGAAGUUCUCCCCAUUUUAUAGCCUAUACUCUCAUCUGUCAAAAACUCAUUUUGUCCCUUUCAUUAUGUGUAAAUAGAAUUAUCUGUCUUACCAACCAUAUGAUCUGGCCAGCCUUUCCCUCAAGUAUAAGCAUUUAAGAUCAAACAAAUUUUUUAAAAUAAGUUUUUUAGUUUUGUUUAAACACUAUUAGCUGUUUUCUGACUUUUAUUGAAAAUGCAUAGUAUUAGGUUAUACCACAUGAAAUUGAUGUAAUGUGGCAAUUUCAUGUUUCAGUGGAAAAUUUCUUUAGCCUAUGGGUUAAGAACACUUUUGUUAAGUUAGCCUAGGAGCUCGACCAUCCCAUAGAUUGUUGUUUCAGUGUGACAGUGAUCUCCGGGUUUUUAAACAACAGUCUAUUACUGUAUUUUUUGGGGGGAAUACAGAACGUUUUUAUAUUUGUGGUUUGAUAUCCAGCCAUUUGUGGUCUUUACCUUGGAAUAUUUAUAUUUUUUCAUCAGCAGUGAUUCUGAACUGCCCCCUGCCUCUGACUGUGCUUAAUCUGCCACUGUUCAAAUAGCACUGCAGUGUCACUGGGCUAUGGGGUUCUUUGAAGCCAGAGUUAGUUAGGGGAAGAACUGAAGAAACAAGAAAUGUACAACCCCAAGCAGUAUAGCAUAGCUAUGAAUGCUGUAAGUGGGAAGACAGAUCAGCCUGAACUGCAGUCAAGAUAGAGCUAAGGCCUUGGACCAGUGGUUCUUCACCCUAGCUAUAUGUUAGGAUAACUUGGAGAGUUUAAAAAAACUAUUGAUGCCCACCCAAGCCCUACCCCCAGUAAUUCUGUUUAAAUUGGCCCUGGCAACAGUAUUUUUGAAACUUCCCCAUAUGAUUUUAAUGAGCAGCCAAGGUCAAGGACCUUUGUUUUGGCCCAGCUUUGAAAGCAAGGAGCCAAGUCAUAAAUAGCCACAGGCUUGGAAUAAUUACUGCCAGUAGUAACACCAAGACUAAUCUUUGUGCAGUAUGGGGAACACAGCUAGAUUGUUUCUUGGUAUUUUUUCCCCCUCUGAGCCACAUCGAGACAGAGGAGUUGUUAAAAUUGUCACCUUCAGCAGUGAAGAAUAGCAGUGUAUCAUUAUGGAAUUCAGAAAAGUAUGGAUGUAGUUUUUGUGGAGGCUGAGGUUAUGAUAGAAACGUAGAGAUAAUCCAGGUGAUCAGUGCUAGCAUCAAUGAUAAGUUAUGUUGAUAGUAUUUAUGUCUGAUAAUGAUGUGAUAAGAAUGGCACUUGAGAGGUAUUUGGUCUUCUUCCUAAAAAGCCAUAACCCUAGUCUAACCACGAGAAAAACAUCAAACAAAUCCCAGCUGUGGGACAUUGUACAAAAUACCUGACCAGUACUCCUCAAAACUGUUUAAGUCAUCGAAACCAAGGAAAGUCUGAGAGAAACUGUCACAGCCAAAAGGAGCUAAGGAGACAUGAUGACUAAAUAUAGUGUGAGAUCCUGGCUAGGAUGCUGGAACAAAAAAAGGACAUUAAGUAAAAACUCAAGAAAUCUGUAUAAGUACAGACUUUUGUCAAUAAGGUAUCAGUGUUGGUUCAUUUAUUGUGAAAAAUAUACUAAUGUAGGAUGUUAAUAAUAGGGGAAGCUGAGUGAGGGGCAUAUGGGAAUUAAUACUAUCUUCACAAUUUUUCUGUAAAUCGAAAAGUAUUAUAAAGUAAAAAGUUUAUUGAAAAAAAUGCAAAAUAGGAGACAAACUUAGCUGAGCUCAAGAGAGAUCCAAUAGAUGGAACCACGUGAAAUCACCAAUAUUCAACCAUUUUUGAACUCCAAAAUAAACAAUUUUAAUGUUAACAAUGGAGAGAACUAGGUGUGGGAUAUACAGGAAGUUGUACUAUCUUAUGCAACUCUACUUUAGUCUGAAAUAACGAAUUUAUCUAAAAAAAAUAAUAAUAUAAAGAAAUCUUGAGGAUACUUACAAAUAGGUUUGAUAACUAUUCUAACUACCUUAAAAGCAUAGUUGUAUAUUUUCUGAUGUAUCAUGAGUCUGUUUCUAAUCCAAAUGGUGAAAAUACCUUUGGUAUCUUAAUGCUGUAUCUGUUUACUUCAUAUAUAACAGAAUUCCAAAACUUUAGAAAUUUUAUGUUUCUAAAUUGUUGCUAUAAACUGGAGCUGGAAAUCAUUCCAUGGUUAUACCAACAAAUCUCAUGUUGGUGAUUGUUACUCAUUUUUCCUAGUAUGUACUUGUUCCUCAUUUUUCUUUAUCUUCUUUUGCAAGCCUUCAAGUCCUAUAUCCUUGUUGACUUCUUUUCAUUCUUCACUUUUUGAUCCUACACCUUUCAGUUACAUUACAGCUUUUGUACCGUUUUGGCCUUCCUCCACUUGUUCAUCUAUGCAUUUAAAAGCAGAAAGUAUUUGUAGUUUGCUAACAAUGACACCCUGACAUUUAAAACACCAUGCUUAUGAGUAUAUGAUUUUCAGCUAGCUUUACUAGCUAAACCCAUGACAAGGUGUGGAUAUGUGAGUCUAAAUCCAUUCCACCUAAUGGAAAAUUAAGCUAGGUUCACAUUAUUUGUCUUUAUAAGUUAGAGCACAUUCCAGUGUUAUAUUCUAUUUCUAGCCGCCGCCAUCCAAAAAAAAAAGAGAAAGAAGGAAGGGAAAAACGAAGGAAUGAGGGAAGGGAGACCUGAAGGAAGCAAGAAGAGAAAGAAGUGCUUUGCUUCUAAGUUGCAGAUGCAGUGGCUGAACAAUACGCUGUGUGGUGUGACAGGAUAAUACAGAAUCCCAUCAUUGGGCAUUCAUUUAUUUGCUGCUCAUCAAGAUGAUUGACAGUUUUGCCAACAACAUGGAAAAAGGAUCUUCCUUCAUGAUGCGUACAAGAAGAAUUUUACCCCUCAGUGAUGAGUACCCUACAGAAAAACGGAUUCUUGUGAAUUCUUUUUCAGAGUUGGUAUUUAUUUGAAUUCUGAGUUUAGAGACUAUGAGUAUAAAUUUAAGUCAAGUGUGUAGCAAAUGAGGAUAGCAGUGUCCUGCUGGCAUCUUUCGUCAAGUGAUUAUACGUGUAGGCCAUUAGGACAAGGAGGGAGAAAGAUAGGAAAACCCAAAAUGGAUAUUUUUUUUCCCAGUGCUUAGCAUAGUGUUAGGCACAUAGUAGACCACUCAAUAAAUAUUUAUUGAAUUUGAAUUAAAAAUUAGGUACCGGGUAUAUUUGAUAUUCUGGAAAUGUGACAAACUAGAUUUAAUUGGUUUAAGUAGGUUGUUAAAAAUUAUAGCAAAAAGAAAUUGUAGAUUACUAGUCUGUCUUUUUUUUCUUUAAUGAAUACUUCCCUUUAAUAGCUUACUAGAUGUACAUUUUUAAAUGCAGACUUCUUCUAUAAAUAUCGUCUUUUAAAAAAGGCAUUGUUUGCUGUUAAUUUUCAUAACUGGUAGGCAAAGCUGUGAAUUUAAGAAAUAGAUGUAAAAAAUUCUAAUUCUCUUAAAACAGAUUUUGUUUUUAAAAAUUGGUAUAGUUCCACAAUCUCAAAAAAUAUCUUUUUUUUUCUUUUCGAAUGGUAUAUUCUGAGCAAGUUAUUUACUUGUAGAGGAAUAAUUUUGCAUUAUUUUGAUAACAUUUCUUGUCCUUUGUUUUAAAGCAAACAAAAGUAUUGGCUUGAAAGUUACUGAAUAAUACUUUGCAAACUGUUGUUUCAAUUGUAACAUUUAGUGGUUGUUGGACACUUUACAUAUAAUUUGAAUCAAAACUCUUUAGUGCAUAUUUUUCAAGCAGAUUAAUUUUAGAGAUUUGCUUUAUAUAAUUAAUAUAUAAUUUGCUUUUUAAUCACUAAUCAAGAAAGUUAAUCGGUCUUUGCUCCCAAACAAUAGGAUAAAUUUUAACCUCCAACCAGCUUUGCAAAUUUGGAUAAUUUGGUUGUUGUAUUUACCAAAAAUAAAUAUUUGGAGGUUGAAUCUUCUCAAAUUCAUUAGGUUAGUCCUGAAUAUUUAGCAGGAAUUUUUUGGUGUACUGCUUUAGAAAGACAGCUCAAACUGUACAAAUUUACAGAUACUUUAAACGUACAUAUUUGGUAUGUUCCUGUCUUCAGUUACAAAUUUGUAGUUUGUAACAAAUUUAAUCUUAUUUAAAUAUUUAAGUUAAAUGUGAGAUACGUUAAUUUUUGUAAAAAACUGGAUAAAGUCAACAUAGGAAAUGUAAAAUAUAGUAUUUUGUAGCUUUCUAUGUUAUUACCUUGCCCUUCCUGUUUAUUUAUGGUCUGUAAAAGUAGAUAAGGUUUUUUUCUGUUUCACUUGUCCAGAUGGUUUUUAAUAUAGAAUGAAUGAACUCGCAAGACCAGAAUCUCUACCUAAAGAAGGAGAUGCUACUGCUUGAAAUUAUAUCAUCACUUAGUUUGACUUUAGGGUUGUUAGAGACUUCUGCCAGUGCUUUGUGUGAGUUGCUUUAAGUUUAAAACUUUGUUUCAGUAUCUUAAAAAAUAGGGUAAAAUGAUGAAGAAUGUUCAUAGCAUUAUGCAUAAUAGCCAAAAAAUGGAAACAGCCCAAAUGUCCUUCAGCUUAAGAAUAGAUAAACAAAAUGUGCUAUAUUCAUACAGUGGAAUAUUAUUCAGCCAUAAAAAG